Molecule: ribosomal RNA, 497 nt
Filed under: uncultured bacterium
Lineage: Bacteria
Description: partial 16S ribosomal RNA
Rfam family: Bacterial small subunit ribosomal RNA
Source: RNAcentral
GAUGAACGCUGGCGGCGUGCCUAAUACAUGCAAGUCGAGCGAACAGACGAGGAGCUUGCUCCUUUGACGUUAGCGGCGGACGGGUGAGUAACACGUGGAUAACCUACCUAUAAGACUGGGAUAACUUCGGGAAACCGGAGCUAAUACCGGAUAACAUGUUGAACCGCAUGGUUCAACAGUGAAAGACGGUCUUGCUGUCACUUAUAGAUGGAUCCGCGCCGCAUUAGCUAGUUGGUAGGGUAACGGCUUACCAAGGCAACGAUGCGUAGCCGACCUGAGAGGGUGAUCGGCCACACUGGAACUGAGACACGGUCCAGACUCCUACGGGAGGCAGCAGUAGGGAAUCUUCCGCAAUGGGCGAAAGCCUGACGGAGCAACGCCGCGUGAGUGAAGAAGGUCUUCGGAUCGUAAAACUCUGUUAUUAGGGAAGAACAAAUGUGUAAGUAACUAUGCACGUCUUGACGGUACCUAAUCAGAAAGCCACGGCUAACUACGUG